GCUAAAUACUUCAUUUCAUUCACUUGAUCAUCACAAUAAUCUCAUGAAGUAACUACUAAAUUUCCAUUUUAUGUGUACGGAAAUUGGUAUCAUUUGUAACCUUUCAAGUAAUGGAAAAAUAUCUGGAUUGGAAGGCAGCUGGAGUAAAACUGCUCAAUCCUGAGAUAUACCAGUCCUGGGAGAUAUCUAGUGCAGAUGGAAGAGAUCAAAACAUUGCUCCCUGAGGAAGCACCACGUGCCACAGCAUCUACUGUAAUAAAACCAGAGUAUAGGACAUAUUAAAAAUGAGCCAGUGGCACAUGUCUGCAAUCCCAACACUUGGGAGGCUGAAGCAGGAGGAUCACCGUGAGUUUGAGGCCAGCCUGAACUACACAGCAAGCCCUUGUCUCAAAAAAAAACCUCAAAUAGAUAGACAGACAGACAGACAGAUAGAUGGAUGACAUAUUCUGACAAAGUCUUGCUGUGUAGUCCAGGCUGGUAUUGAGCUGAACCUUUUGGCUUGUCAAAUUAAUCAAAAGGAAGGACCACGCAUGCUGCAGGGGAUGGAAAGGGACUGGAAAAUCAUAAACUGGGCUUUGGGCUCUCACUACACAGGCAAAGCCAGCACUUUGGACUGGAACCUGUGAAAGGAUGAGCCAAAAUAAACACCUUCCUUCCAUUUAGUUGGGCAUGUUGGAUAUUUUGUCCCAGCAAUGAGAAAGCUGACCAUACAAUGACCUUAGCAUUUCCAUCAAAUCUCAACUCAUUCCAGAUUUCAGAUUCCUGGAAACAAACCUGCCUUAAUGGAGCCAAGCGAUCAUUUCUCUUCUUUGCACCCCCCAAAAGAAUCCAAUAAUCAAACGCUAUUGAAAGAAGCUUUCAGCAACUGGAACAGAGUGGGAUCUCCAUAGAUGCGGCUAUUAGACAGCUGUGCCUUGGUACUCAAAUGCUUUGAAACUUGUUGAAUUUGGUACUGGAUGUAUUUGAAUGUGAAAUGUUGUCCCUCACAGUUAAUUUGGUACCAACCUGCAAGCUAGAACUUGUCUAUAUCAACUGCCUCGUGACUCCUUAUAAUUUUCAGCCAAAAUAAUUUGUUGGGUACUCGCUGUUUUUGGUGCUUGCCACAUCUCCAAGAACCAAUUAACAAUGAAUAAUGUGGUUUCACUGUAUUUUUAAAACAGCUUCUACAAGCAAAGGCAAAACCUACAAACUAAGUCUCAAAUCCAAGCAUCACCAUUGGUUUGUAUUUUUAGUUUGGUAGCUUUUUCUUCCCUUUGCUUUGAAGUAUUUUGGGUUUGUUUUUUUUUUAAUUCUAGGAGAAGGCCCAAAUUGGAUAAGUUUAGGUGUAGAAAUAAAACACAUGUUCUAACAAUUUUGGAGAGAUAGAUGAAUCUCUUGGGAUAUGAGAUUUCACAAAAUAUUUUAAAUUAUUUUUCAAAUAAUAUGGGUUUGGCAAAAACAAAAUGAUUUUCUAAAAAAGUUCCCUCCUUAACAUUCAAAUGGUCUCAAUGGAAAUGUAAUAUACAUAUUUCUAGCUCUCUUCACAUAACUCAGUAUUAUUUAAUAGGAAUUGGUUGAUGUUUAACAAUCCAGUGAGUACUUGACCUAUUUUUGGACAAUAAAACUACCUUCUGAGAA
This 1617-nucleotide long non-coding RNA is filed under the name Heterocephalus glaber (naked mole-rat). RNAcentral's name for it is "lncRNA (ENSHGLG00000049415.1)". The record is from RNAcentral. Lineage: Eukaryota; Metazoa; Chordata; Mammalia; Rodentia; Bathyergidae.